This 467-nucleotide ribosomal RNA is filed under the name uncultured bacterium. RNAcentral's name for it is "partial 16S ribosomal RNA". It matches the Rfam family "Bacterial small subunit ribosomal RNA", at positions 29 to 507 of the family's 1533-position model. The record is from RNAcentral.
ACGAACGCUGGCGGCGUGCUUAACACCUGCAAGUCGAACGGAAAGGCCCUGCUUUUGUGGGGUGCUCGAGUGGCGAACGGGUGAGUAACACGUGAGUAACCUGCCCUUGACUUUGGGAUAACUUCAGGAAACUGGGGCUAAUACCGGAUAGGAGCUCCUGCUGCAUGGUGGGGGUUGGAAAGUUUCGGCGGUUGGGGAUGGACUCGCGGCUUAUCAGCUUGUUGGUGGGGUAGUGGCUUACCAAGGCUUUGACGGGUAGCCGGCCUGAGAGGGUGACCGGCCACAUUGGGACUGAGAUGCGGCCCAGACUCCUACGGGAGGCAGCAGUGGGGAAUAUUGCACAAUGGGCGGAAGCCUGAUGCAGCAACGCCGCGUGCGGGAUGACGGCCUUCGGGUUGUAAACCGCUUUCGCCUGUGACGAAGCGUGAGUGACGGUAAUGGGUAAAGAAGCACCGGCUAACUACGUG